AGUGAACGCUGGCGGUAGGCCUAACACAUGCAAGUCGAACGGCAGCACAGUAAGAGCUUGCUCUUACGGGUGGCGAGUGGCGGACGGGUGAGGAAUACAUCGGAAUCUACUUUUUCGUGGGGGAUAACGUAGGGAAACUUACGCUAAUACCGCAUACGACCUACGGGUGAAAGCAGGGGAUCUUCGGACCUUGCGCGAUUGAAUGAGCCGAUGUCGGAUUAGCUAGUUGGCGGGGUAAAGGCCCACCAAGGCGACGAUCCGUAGCUGGUCUGAGAGGAUGAUCAGGCACACUGGAACUGAGACACGGUCCAGACUCCUACGGGAGGCAGCAGUGGGGAAUAUUGGACAAUGGGCGCAAGCCUGAUCCAGCCAUACCGCGUGGGUGAAGAAGGCCUUCGGGUUGUAAAGCCCUUUUGUUGGGAAAGAAAAGCAGCAGGUUAAUACCCCGCUGUUAUGACGGUACCCAAAGAAUAAGCACCGGCUAACUUCGUG
Molecule: ribosomal RNA, 492 nt
Filed under: uncultured bacterium
Lineage: Bacteria
Description: partial 16S ribosomal RNA
Rfam family: Bacterial small subunit ribosomal RNA
Source: RNAcentral